Molecule: non-coding RNA, 1199 nt
Organism: Malus domestica (apple)
Lineage: Eukaryota; Viridiplantae; Streptophyta; Magnoliopsida; Rosales; Rosaceae
Source: RefSeq, a predicted model, not a curated record
AACUGAAUCAACUGCGUAACAUGGUCACGGACAUUUCAUGCACUACUAAGAGUCUGGUCCUGAGACUAAUGCUAUGCACGAAGAGACUCGUAACAGAUCUGACUGAAGAGAAUGUUGAAGUCAGCUCAAUUUCUGAGGUACUCAAGGAAGAUGUGCAGCUGAUAUGGGAUAACUUCUUGAGCUGUAAACGUUUUCUAACAAGAAAUUGCAUGUUGUAAAUCAAUGAUCACUUUCUAUGCGACGUGUACAUAUCUGUCUACAUCCUGAGUUUUACGUUCAACUUUCGGCAUUGUUUGAUGAAUAAUUAGUAACUGUUCUAAUGAUUUCUUGCAAUCCUGCUAGCUAUGUGUAUCUUGGAUAGUUGAUGGUUAAUGAAAUUUUUGCGAUUUUACAUUUUGAUGACUUCAUUGCCAGUUAAUGCUUCGGCUCAGGUGCUUUCUUACAACACAAGACCUUUAUAUAAAAGAACUAAUCUGCUUUUUGCUAUAUGAUUGUUCUGGAUUGCACACUGUUGAAAAUAUAUACAAAUAGACAGGGAAUUCGUUUAGGUUAAACUAUUGGAAUUGACGAAUUUCGGACCACUGUCUCGCCUUGCUAGAAUGGAACUUGUAGGGAGAGAUUUGUGCGGGGAAAUUCCACCAAGGAAUUUCGGCUAGGGAAACAAAGGAAUGGCUGCUCUAUUUCUCUACCCCUAACCCUCCCCAUAUGGCCUCUAUUAUAGUGGUCAUGUAAGGCUUAGGCUGUAGAAGAAUAUGCUUGCUCACCAAGCCAAAUCCCACCAUCCUUGGCAUAUUCAAAGGGAGAAUAUCUUGGUUAUCAAUGAUAUUUCCUUAGAAAUAUUAUUCCAAUCCACCUACUAAUUUGGGUGGAUAUUUAUUUAAUUAAUAUUAAAUAACUCUAACACACACAAGACACAACCAAUUCUUCACUUACACCUACACUUCUAUUCCUAAAGUUAUUGUUGAAUUGUAAUCUUAUCUUGGCCCAAGAUAAUUGAUCCGGCCCAUAUACAAAGAAAGAUCCAUGCAUAUGCUAGAGAGUUAUAGCAAAUUCAAAUUGGUGGAAUUCAUGCAUAAAUAUCUAAGGCUUUUUGUAGAAAGAUCUAGAAUCUUGUACAAUUGUGUGGUUGUUAAGCAUUAACUAGAAAGUUCUAGCAAUGUCAAAGUGGCAAACCUUGCCUAUAAAUAGGUGAGGUGCUA